AUCUUUGAACGCAUCUUGCGCCCCUUGGUAUUCCGAGGGGCAUGCCUGUUUGAGUGUCGUGAACUCUCUCUCAACCCCUUCUCGUCUGUGACGGGGGACGGGGUUGGAUCUGGAUGUCUGCGGCGAGGUGUUCUCGCCGCUCGUCUUGAAAUGCAUUAGCUGGUC
Molecule: ribosomal RNA, 165 nt
Filed under: Ramaria fumigata
Lineage: Eukaryota; Fungi; Basidiomycota; Agaricomycetes; Gomphales; Gomphaceae
Description: 5.8S ribosomal RNA
Rfam family: 5.8S ribosomal RNA (bases 1-59)
Source: RNAcentral